Molecule: ribosomal RNA, 253 nt
Filed under: uncultured bacterium
Lineage: Bacteria
Description: partial 16S ribosomal RNA
Rfam family: Bacterial small subunit ribosomal RNA
Source: RNAcentral
UACGUAGGUGGCAAGCGUUGUCCGGAAUUAUUGGGCGUAAAGCGCGCGCAGGCGGCCUCUUAAGUCUGAUGUGAAAGCCCCCGGCUCAACCGGGGAGGGCCAUUGGAAACUGGGAGGCUUGAGUAUAGGAGAGAAGAGUGGAAUUCCACGUGUAGCGGUGAAAUGCGUAGAGAUGUGGAGGAACACCAGUGGCGAAGGCGACUCUUGGGCCUUGAACUGACGAUGAGGCGCGAAAGCGUGGGGAGCAAACAGG